This 343-nucleotide non-coding RNA is filed under the name Culex quinquefasciatus (southern house mosquito). Its description in RNAcentral is "Eukaryotic large subunit ribosomal RNA". It matches the Rfam family "Eukaryotic large subunit ribosomal RNA", at positions 24 to 358 of the family's 3401-position model. The record is from Rfam by way of RNAcentral. Lineage: Eukaryota; Metazoa; Arthropoda; Insecta; Diptera; Culicidae.
CCCCCUAACAUUUAUGAAGGGGAGGAAAAGAAACUAACAAGGAUUCCCCGAGUAGCUGCGAGCGAAAAGGGAUGAGCUCAGCACGUAGGGGUGAUGCACUUGUGUGUCUACCCGGUUCCGUGUACUGGAAAAUUUGUCAUCUGCCAUGCCCAGCGUAAGGUCCAAGUUCAACUAGAAUGUGGCUUUUACUCCCAUAGAGGGUGAUAGGCCCGUAGGACGGCGCUGAUGGUGGAAAAUUUUUCCAUGGAGUCGUGUUGCUUGAUAGUGCAGCACAAAGUGGGAGGUAAACUCCUUCUAAAGCUAAAUAUCACCACGAGACCGAUAGCGAACAAGUACCGUGAGG